CUGAAAUAUGCAAGCAAACCGUACCUGAAAAAUACAAGCAAAACCUCAAAGUUUCAACGAAAAUUUUUUUGGCUGUUUUAAUCCUACUUGACAACCUAACUAUGGAAAUAUUAUCAUUUCCUUCUCGAACAUUUUGGUCUACGAGUAAAAUGCAUGCAAACUUUGUGUUUCGCUGCCAUCUUGGAAAACAUUUUUGAAAAAUUAUCUCGAAGGUCAAUGAACUUUGUGACAUCAUUAGAUGGGUAGCACUAAAACUACAAGAAAGAAUUCUAUUGCGUGC
Molecule: non-coding RNA, 280 nt
Organism: Paramuricea clavata
Lineage: Eukaryota; Metazoa; Cnidaria; Anthozoa; Malacalcyonacea; Plexauridae
Source: the annotation of a GenBank genome assembly